This 484-nucleotide ribosomal RNA is filed under the name uncultured bacterium. RNAcentral describes it as "partial 16S ribosomal RNA". It matches the Rfam family "Bacterial small subunit ribosomal RNA", at positions 30 to 507 of the family's 1533-position model. The record is from RNAcentral.
AUUGAACGCUGGCGGCAGGCCUAACACAUGCAAGUCGAGCGGAUGAAGGGAGCUUGCUCCUGGAUUCAGCGGCGGACGGGUGAGUAAUGCCUAGGAAUCUGCCUGGUAGUGGGGGAUAACGUCCGGAAACGGGCGCUAAUACCGCAUACGUCCUGAGGGAGAAAGUGGGGGAUCUUCGGACCUCACGCUAUCGGAUGAGCCUAGGUCGGAUUAGCUAGUUGGUGGGGUAAAGGCCUACCAAGGCGACGAUCCGUAACUGGUCUGAGAGGAUGAUCAGUCACACUGGAACUGAGACACGGUCCAGACUCCUACGGGAGGCAGCAGUGGGGAAUAUUGGACAAUGGGCGAAAGCCUGAUCUAGCCAUGCCGCGUGUGUGAAGAAGGUCUUCGGAUUGUAAAGCACUUUAAGUUGGGAGGAAGGGCAGUAAGUUAAUACCUUGCUGUUUUGACGUUACCAACAGAAUAAGCACCGGCUAACUUCGUG